AUGAGUGCCUUGACAGCCCCGCUCCUUUUUCCCUCCUGCUUCUCAACCUCUCCUUCUAACGAUCUUCCCUUACCUUUCUCUAUUUUCUCUCAUAGGGAUCCAUGGCGCUGCCGCUUGGAGCUCUGCCUCCUUCGGCCACCUCCUUGCCUCGUCGCCAUCGACCUGCAGAGGGACACGCCAUGGCCACCCUCGUCUUCAAGUCGCGUCGCCCGCGCCCAGAUUUGGCGCCCUCAGCAUGCCCAUGCAUGGGUUCCGCGCAUCCCCGACCUCUCCUGCAACCCUUUAUCAAACUCCAUGGGCAGGCUCCCAUGUUCGACUCUUUGCGCCGCCCCGUUUGACCUCCAGUUCCAGUCCCUCGUCGCCACCGCAUCGCCAGGCGCCUCGUCAUCGGGGAGCACCCCAACACUGUUGUUGUACUCCUCUUCUUUCUUCUCUCUCCCCCCCCCUUUUCCUUUCCCGUCACUCUCCAAGUUCUCUGAACUCUCUGUCUUUCUUCAGGAGUUGCAGCAACCUUCGAGUUUGAGCAGCCACCUCCUGCACGGAUCGAGGACCUCCUGUUGCUCGGAUCUGGACGCCGCUGAGCUCCCGCGUCGGAUCGGACUCCUCCGCACAUCCCCGACCUCUGGCCUCGCCGUGCCGUCCCCGUGCAGGUUCCUGCCUCUGCCUCAUCCUCGUCCGAGCAGAGGACGACUGCUUCUUCAUCGCGCGCAAGGGCUGCAGCCGCGGCAAGGCCCAGCCAGCGUCUCUGCCAGCAGCCUUGCGUCCCCCCAACUGGGCCUCAGCCCACUAGCUUCGGUUUCGUUCCGGAGUUGUGAGGAUCCGUUCAUCUACGUCCAUUUGUCUUCUUCAUGGACUCGUUCUUCUUCCUUGCGGGAUUUCAGGUACGUACCUGAAGCAGCGUCGCCGGCCUGGAGCAGGGAAGCAGCGACGAGGAGCAGGGCAACUGAGAUAGAUACAGGAGCUAGUAGGAGGAGCAACAGAGUGGGAGUGUGGGCGUGA
RNAcentral lists this ribosomal RNA (999 nucleotides) under Triticum aestivum (bread wheat). Its description in RNAcentral is "partial small subunit ribosomal RNA". The record is from RNAcentral. Lineage: Eukaryota; Viridiplantae; Streptophyta; Magnoliopsida; Poales; Poaceae.